CAGCGAGAGAGAAAUGAAGUGUGACUCCUGCCCUGCCCGGCACAGCCCUGCUGGUGUCUGCACGGCCAGGCGUCCCCACCGCCUCCCUCCCUGCACCUCCAGCUGUUCCCCUUGGACUCCAGGAACAGCAGCUGCCCAUGAGGCAAGAUGGGGAGGAGGAGAGGAGGGGGUGGGGCCGGAGGCUGUUAGGGAAGAGGCCAGAGGAUCAGAGGCCCAUGGGGCCAGCUGACAGCGCGGAGGCGCGACUCCUCUUUCCCCAGGGCUACUGGGAAUCCCAAACGCACCUCCUUCCCCCCUUCUCUGCCUGGCCCCAGCCUGGACCUGGGCAGUAGCCAACUCUCUGGUCUCCCCCCUCCUGCCCAGGCCCCUGUUCCGGCCUCUACAUGGCAGCAGGGGCUCCUCAGCUCGGAACCUCUCCCUGGUCCUGCCCGACUCCCACGGGGCCAUGCCAGCGAGCUCCUCCUGCCCGGGCUCUCCCGGACCUUCUGGAACACAGCAGCCAGGCUGCCCCGUCUCAGCGGUGUCUGCCAGCAGCCCCCUCCCCAGUCAGCCCAACAGCUCCGGAAGUCAUUACUCAGAGCCCCCCGCUGUCCCCAUCACGGGCUGAAGGGUGCCCCUCAGAGGCUUGUCCCCCUCCCUCCCAAGCCCGCAGACAUGACCUCAUUUGGAAAAGUGCAUCUGAGGUUAAGGGUCCUGCGUGAGGUCCUGCUGAUCACCCGGGUGAGCCCUGCGUCCCAGGCCACGGAUCCCACACACCCAGAGCCCUGGACUCGGGUCACCCCUUCCCGUCCACCCUGGCCUGCAAACACCCCUCACCUGCAGACAGCGUCACAGUCCCCGUGACUUCUGCUGUCAUGGCUUACGGUCUGGAACCACCCAGGCCCGGAGGGCAGCCAUGUGCCUCUUUACCUUGACUUUGGACUCUAGCGCUGGCACUGACCUUCCUCAGCCCCAGGAGGACGCACCGACCUCCACGGUAUCUCUGCCUCCUUCCCCGGAGGCUUCCUCUCCCCAGGUUCUCCAGUGAAGGCCAAGGCUAGGAAGACAGGUAGACGUGGCCUUGGGGGCACCUGGGAGAGCCUGACCCUAUGUGGAGGCAGCAGGACUUCCGAGGACUUGGUGACAUUUGGCUGGGCAGUGGCCCUGCUGCACACCAGCCUUGAAAAGAAGGGAAAUUUCCAGACAUUCUGCCAAGGACAGAGGAGCUGUUCCCUGGAGCCAGGCCUCACCAGGCCGCAAGGUUGCCCAAAGCCACAGGAUGGGUCCCUAAGCAGGUGCCAUUGCAAGGACCUGAGCCACUGCCUUGGCUUUGGUGCACAUCUGACUCAGAGGGCGUGCUGCAGGGAGGCUGACUGGGUCCUGCCCAGGCGUCCACGAAAGGCCCUUGGCCAUGGCCCAGCUGGCAGGGUCUCCCACCUGGUGACAGGUGAGGGAGGCUGAGCAUUCUGGGCCUGGUGUGGGAUGUCCACCGGUGCCAGGGGUCCUGGGGGCCAUGUUCAGCAGUUCCCCAGCAGGUGGGUCUGGGUGGACCCCUGAGCCACUCACUCCUUUUCCAUGGCCCCCCACAGUGUUGUUGGCCAGACCUGGGCCUGCCGCCCCGUGAAGCUGACUAUGGAUAGGUGACCUCGCUGGCAUUAAUGACGUCGGGAGCUGUUGGUGCCGUGAGGGGUCGGGCAGGGCUCGAGGGGUGACACGGGAAUGGAGACCAGUGUGAAGGGAGGGCCCUGUGCGCAAAUCUCCUCACCCAACAGCCUGCUCCCCAGCACCCACUUCCUGCCAGCGUCCAGCUUGGCACCCGGGGGCAGAGAGGGUCCUGCCCAGACAGCGGGGACACUGCCACCCGCCCCCACGCAGGUCAGGCUCUUGCUGAGGGCGCGUCCACCUGUCUGCCCAGAACCUGGGAGCGGUAGCCCCUAGGGAGGGAGGCAGAGAUGCAGAGGUUGGUGCUCAGCCCACAGACCGCAGCUGGGGCCUACGGUGAGCAGGGCACGUUCUCACGGGCUGGGGGCCAGGACUCCGGGAGGGGAGACCACCCUCCUCCCAGGCCCUGGGGAUUCCUGGUGCCCCACGGCUGCGGCUGCUGUGCUCCAGUCCUGCCUGUCCUCAAGUGGCUCUGAACGCCUGUCACUGUGGUGACACCUGUGUGGCCUCAUCCUGACCUUCCCCUGCCCAGGCCUGCAUGGGCAAGGCCUGGUGCUCAGGUGCCUGGACCCCAGAUCCUGGCGCUGUGGGGGAGGGACUCCUGCCAAGUGCCCAUCCUCCACCAGGCGGCCCCAGUGGAAGAUCCCGUUGGCAAGGGAAGGUGGCAGCCAGCAGGGUGGGCGACCAGGGUGUGGGGAGCUCGCGUGCAGGGACUCUGGGCACAGAGACAGAGAUCCACGGAGGUCCUGGAGGAGGAGGCCUGGUGAGGCCUGCAGCCUCCAGGAGCUGGCAGAGGAGGGACCACCCUACUGCGCUGCAAAGAGUGCGCUCUCCCCUCGGAAGCCGCGGGUUUGGGUUAAUUUGUCACAGUAGCCACAGGAACUUGCCUCAGCUGCUUUUUCGUCCUGCCGUAAGUACCCGGGGAAGGAGCUUAAAAGGAGAAAGAUUCAUUUUGAGUUGGGAGUUUGAGAUCACGGCCUGCAACCCCGCUGCCUUGGGCCGGGGGGGAGCUCCUCAGGCUGCGCAGAGACAGCUGCUCAGGUGGGAAGCAGGGAGCGGGGACGGAGGGACCCGGGACGGCCCCCUUCCGGUGGGUCACCUGCAAACUGAGAUGCACGCCCAGGCCCUGCUCCCUGACCUCCCCAGUGACCCACUUCUUCUAACUGGCCCCACCUCCUACAGCCACCAGCUCCCAAUAAUGCCAGCCCAAUCAUCAAGGGCUAAGAGAGCCCAGGGCCGGCAGAGGGCACAGGCAGGCCCUCCGAUGGGCCACGGAGCUGCCCACGAGGGCAUGCAGGCUGGCAGCAGGACUCGCUAAGGUGGCAGAGUCCUGUGACCCAGUCACUGCCCAGGCCCCGCCUCGGGACACUGCUGCAUUGGGGACCAGGCUUCAGCCCAGGAGCCUGUGGGGGGUUUCAGAUGCCACCCUGACAGACUCACACACUUACCUGGGGCCCGUUCUCAGCUGGGGCCAUUUUGCACCCCUACCCCGCCGCCAGGAGACACCUGCCAAUGUCCAGAGACAGUUCUGAUGUCACAGCUGGGUAACGCUACUGGCAUCCAAUGGCAGAGACCAGAGAUGCUGCUCGACGUCCUAAAUGCACAGGACGGUCCUCAUGACAAGGAAGAUGGUUUGGGGUCUUGUUGUUUGGUGCUGGGGACUGAACCCAGGAGUGCUCUACCACUGAGCCACGUCCUCAGCCCUUUUUAUUUUUUACUUUGAGACAGGGUCUCGCUAAGCUGCUGAGACUGGCCUCCACUCUGCCAUCCUCCUGCCUCAACCACUGGAGUAGCUGGGAUCACAGGUGCGGCCACCAUGCCCAGCAUGAGGAGGAGGGUCUGGCUCCACGGUGCCGGGACACAUUAAGGAAUUACACUGGAGACCCCCCAUCAGGGCCCAGCGCCGGGUCCAGCCUUGAGUGGACAGGUCACGUGGGGUGAACAAUGAACCGAGAGCCCGUCACAACAGCAUGAUGCCACCACGGCCGCUGCCCUGCAGGCUGGCAGGCAGAGGCUGCUCCUACCAGGUGCUGGGUACCCACAGCUGGGACAAGAUGGCCUUUGGCCCUGGAGGAGGCACGAGAGCUGGGGUGCUGAGGACCAGCCCCUCACUCCGUCGCUGGGGUGUUACCAGAAGUCGGUCUACAGGUGACGGAGCCGAGCUAGAGAGCCCAGGGCGGGCAGAGGGCACAGCCAGGCCCUCCGACGGGCCACGGAGCUGCCCACGUG
RNAcentral lists this long non-coding RNA (3870 nucleotides) under Marmota monax (woodchuck). The record is from RNAcentral. Lineage: Eukaryota; Metazoa; Chordata; Mammalia; Rodentia; Sciuridae.